GAUGAACGCUGGCGGCGUGCCUAAUACAUGCAAGUCGAGCGAACGGACGAGAAGCUUGCUUCUCUGAUGUUAGCGGCGGACGGGUGAGUAACACGUGGAUAACCUACCUAUAAGACUGGGAUAACUUCGGGAAACCGGAGCUAAUACCGGAUAAUAUUUUGAACCGCAUGGUUCAAAAGUGAAAGACGGUUUUGCUGUCACUUAUAGAUGGAUCCGCGCUGCAUUAGCUAGUUGGUAAGAUAACGGCUUACCAAGGCAACGAUGCAUAUCCGACCUGAGAGGAUGAUCGGCCACACUGGAACUGAGACACGGUCCAGACUCCUACGGGAGGCAGCAGUAGGGAAUCUUCCGCAAUGGGCGAAAGCCUGACGGAGCAACGCCGCGUGAGUGAUGAAGGUCUUCGGAUCGUAAAACUCUGUUAUUAGGGAAGAACAUAUGUGUAAGUAACUGUGCACAUCUUGACGGUACCUAAUCAGAAAGCCACGGCUAACUACGUG
RNAcentral lists this ribosomal RNA (497 nucleotides) under uncultured bacterium. Its description in RNAcentral is "partial 16S ribosomal RNA". It matches the Rfam family "Bacterial small subunit ribosomal RNA", at positions 28 to 507 of the family's 1533-position model. The record is from RNAcentral.